RNAcentral lists this ribosomal RNA (468 nucleotides) under uncultured bacterium. RNAcentral's name for it is "partial 16S ribosomal RNA". It matches the Rfam family "Bacterial small subunit ribosomal RNA", at positions 28 to 507 of the family's 1533-position model. The record is from RNAcentral.
GACGAACGCUGGCGGCGUGCUUAACACAUGCCAGUCGAACGGAAAGGCCCUGCUUUUGUGGGGUGCUCGAGUGGCGAACGGGUGAGUAACACGUGAGUAACCUGCCCUUGACUUUGGGAUAACUUCAGGAAACUGGGGCUAAUACCGGAUAGGAGCUCCUGCUGCAUGGUGGGGGUUGGAAAGUUUCGGCGGUUGGGGAUGGACUCGCGGCUUAUCAGCUUGUUGGUGGGGUAGUGGCUUACCAAGGCUUUGACGGGUAGCCGGCCUGAGAGGGUGACCGGCCACAUUGGGACUGAAAUACGGCCCAGACUCCUACGGGAGGCAGCAGUGGGGAAUAUUGCACAAUGGGCGGAAGCCUGAUGCAGCAACGCCGCGUGCGGGAUGACGGCCUUCGGGUUGUAAACCGCUUUCGCCUGUGACGAAGCGUGAGUGACGGUAAUGGGUAAAGAAGCACCGGCUAACUACGUG